UUUGUUUCUUUCAGGAGUCAGCAGGAUGCCCAAAGUGCAAUAAAUGAUUUGAAUGGAAAAUGGCUUGGAAGCAGACAAAUUCGGUGUAACUGGGCGACAAAAGGUACUAGUUCUAAUGAUGACAAGCCGAGUUCUGAUGUCAAGAGUGUUGUAGAGCUAACCAGUGGAACAUCAGAAGAAAGUCAAGAAAAGAAUGAUGAUGCGCCAGAGUACAAUCUUCAGUACACCACCGUUUAUGUUGGCAAUCUUGCUUCUGAGGUUACUUCUGUGGAUCUUCAUAGGCAGUUCCAUGCACUUGGUGCAGGAACUAUUGAAGAUGUGCGUGUGCAGCGGGAUAAAGGUUUUGGUUUUGUGAGAUACAGUACACAUGCUGAAGCAGCUCUUGCUAUUCAGAUGGGAAAUGCUCGUAUUCUUUAUGGCAAACCUAUUAAGUGCUCUUGGGGUAGCAAACCCACUCCACCAGGAAUAAGCUCUACCCCUCUUCCGCCACCAGCUGUUGCACAUAUGCCAGGUCUUUCAGCUGCUGACCUUGCAGCUUAUGAACGGCAGAUGGCAUUGAGCAAAAUGGCUGGUGCACAAGCCCUUAUGCAUCCACAAGGUCAGCAUGCCCUUAAGCAGGCAGUCAUGGGAAUGGGUGCUGUUGGAACUAGUCAGGCAAUAUAUGAUGGCGUGUUCCAAAAUGUUGCGACAACCCAGCAGCUUAUGUACUUCCACUAAUACUGUGUUAUGAAAAUCUCCCUUGAACCAUGAUUGGGAGGAAUUAGUAUUCGAAAAUUUGUAGGAUGAUGUUUUAUGGUUGUAAUCCUGUUAAAGUUUAUGUCCUGUAUUAUGUUACAUAUGCGCCUGCGUGUAUGCUGAA
RNAcentral lists this unclassified non-coding RNA (859 nucleotides) under Hevea brasiliensis (rubber tree). Lineage: Eukaryota; Viridiplantae; Streptophyta; Magnoliopsida; Malpighiales; Euphorbiaceae. The record is from RNAcentral.